UAUGGACCUGAAGCAGCGAGGCUUGUACAAAAAUGACUGAAUGCCAAUAUUUCGCAGUACAGUUCAAGCCAGCUAGGUUGAUUUAGUAAGUAGCUUAUUAUACGGCACUCGGACCAUUCUUGAAUUUACCUGUUUUUGAAAACAAAACAAAAAAAAAGCUUAUAUCUGUUUGUGUGGAAAUGGUCUCUGUGGCAAAAUUUUGACAAAGAAAGAACCAAUCAGAACGGGCAAAUUUUCCUCAAGACUACUGUAUCGAACUGGAACAGUGUGGAGACCAUGAGCUGUCAUUUGAGGCUUUGGUUUAAUGAUUAUGUUACACAAAGUAAGAAAUGAUACAAAAAGAUAUAUGUUUACUGAUCUCGGGCAAAUUUGAAACAACUGAAUCAUGAAAGGCUUAAUUAAAGGUUUACAAUUUCUGACGAAAACUGUGAAGGCGAUAUAAAAUAGGGUCUAAGAAAGUAACACACAAGGAACAAUAAUCCGUUUGUAUAAACAAAGAAACGGUUAGCAGUUACGUGGAUGAGAACAACAUGUUUAGCAUAUUAGCUCUUCUCUAAGACAUAUUGUGAUGAAACUAAUGAAAACAAAAUACAAUAUAGUUCUUUUGUCUACAGUUUUUAGAAUAUUACAUUACAUUGAUACAUUUGAUACAAUCGUAACUCUAUUAUUUACAGCAAAAAACCAGGUUAAUUUUUUUUUUAUUACUUGGUGAUGCAUAUUUGAUAGCCUUCUGAAUCCUGAUGACUUCCAUUAAAACUAUUUUGCAAAUCAAAUUGCAUUAGAACAACUGUACAAGUCAAAGAUUUCAAUUGUCAAAGUGUGGACAUGGAGUUUCUCAACUCCAAUAUAGUUCAAGACCCAUUUAAAACAACAGCCAUUUUUUGCAAUGAACAGAUCAAAACUACCAUCAAACUGAAGAAAUAUUCCAUGAGAAAAAGAGGAUAGAACCUAUCUUCUUAAAUAUAUACCAAGUUUAGGUUCUCAAACAUAAAAGAGUUUCCUUCAAUUACCUCAUUUAAGUUUGCUCUUGAAUUUGUUUGUUUUUAUCCUACAGAAAUGGCUGGGCACUUUGCAGCAAAAGUCAAUGCCAAGGUGCUUGCUCUUUCACAUUUUAGCCAGAGAUAUAAGGGAGAUGGUGAAAAUGUAGCAACCAAGACUGGAGACUGUGUUAGCAUAGAAAAACUCCUCAGACAAGCAGAAAAAGCUUUUAAAUCAGACAGUGUAAUUGCUGCUGAAGAUUUUAUGGCUGUUCACAUUCCCCUGAAACUUAAAGAAUGGUGGAUCUUGGGCCAAUUAUUAUAAAAUACAUAUGUUGUGGUAUGAAAAUUUCAAAGCAGUUUGGUUUUUAUUUUUCAUUCUCAGUUACAGUUAGACUGUUCACAACCUCUCUAUAUUUCAACGUAUGUGAAGAAUAAUGUGAGCAAAGUGAGCAUGAGUGCAAAAGCACAAUGGAGUGGGGGUGGGGAGGCAAGCAAAGCAAGCUCUUUAUUCUUCUCAGUUCCACCCCAUACCCCGUCAAGCCAUCCAUUUUGCACUAGUGCCCAGUUCUCCUAAAUAUGAGAGUCACUUAUAAAAGAAGAUAGAACAAUAGGUAACAAAAUCUAUGCAAAAAGUGGUAGCAGGAUUAUGUAAUCUAUCACUAGGCUAACAAUAAACUUGUACAAAAUCUUAAAUGAAUAUUUACAAAACAAGUUGACAAGGUAUAAUAUCCUAUUGAGUUAACUAACAAAUUUAAAUAUGCUGCUGCGAGUUUGCUAUUAAUAAUUAUAGUUUACAAGGGUAUACCCCAACUAAAGCAGGAGAACAAUAUUUUUCAACAUUUAUCGUUUUCUUCCUUUUGAAUGCUUUUUAGUUCAAACUGUGACUUCCCUAUGACUGUUACUUAGUAGGAUUUAUGGCAACCUCCUUCCCAGGGUCGCUGCCUGGGAACGAGGUUUGGCACUCCACAAACAGUACCUUUCAAACUUAUAUGGGAAUUAUGUGUGGUUUUUAGGUCUCUCUAUAUAACUACUAUUUUACACAUAUAUGACAUAAUAUGUGGUUAAUUCUCCCACAGGUGUGACAGAGUUAAUGAGUCAAAAGUUAAUCCCAUAGAAGAAUUUUGGGCUUAAGCUUUAUAAUAACCACAAUAGUAACAUAUUCAUGCAGUGCCUUAAUUUAGCAUUCUAAGGGGCUUUACAAAGUGUUAAAGCUCAGUUCAACUUCUAAAACUAGUAAUAUACAUACAAAAGUAAGACAUGGAGAAUUUAGCAAUAAAAUGAGUGAAAUAAAAAAAUAAAAAAACUAACUAUACUAACCAAUAAAACAAAGAUAACACAUGUUAUGUAGAAAAAAA
RNAcentral lists this long non-coding RNA (2335 nucleotides) under Orbicella faveolata. RNAcentral's name for it is "uncharacterized LOC110052402". The record is from RNAcentral. Lineage: Eukaryota; Metazoa; Cnidaria; Anthozoa; Scleractinia; Merulinidae.